AACGCACCUUGCGCUAGCUGGAAUUCCGGCUAGCAUGCCUGUUUGAGUAUCGAAUCCAACUCACCUAGUGUGGAUAUGGGCCCUGUAAAUUUAUUUACUGGUCUGGAAAAUAUGAGUGCUACCCAAAGUGCUAAUAGGAAUAAAUAUUCUAUUAAAUCUUUGAUAAACACACACCUUUAACUCACGAUCUCAAAUCAAGCAAGAUGACCCGCUGAACUUAA
RNAcentral lists this unclassified non-coding RNA (221 nucleotides) under uncultured fungus. RNAcentral describes it as "sequence contains ITS2". Lineage: Eukaryota; Fungi. The record is from RNAcentral.